This is a long non-coding RNA of Passer domesticus (house sparrow), 331 nucleotides long. RefSeq lists it as uncharacterized. NCBI's taxonomy places the organism in Eukaryota, Metazoa, Chordata, Aves, Passeriformes, Passeridae. The record is from RefSeq and is a predicted model, not a curated record. The transcript has 3 exons.
CGAAGAGACAAGACCCAAGAUACAGAAGACAAAAAAUCCCUGGAGGCAGCCAAACAUCUGGACCAGAUGAUGAGUGCACAGGUGAGGGUGCUGGGAUGGCUUCUCCAGCAGUGGGGAUGGAAGAUGAUUUGGAGCCCUUGGGAAUUUCUGCAGGUGUGUCUGCAGGGAGGACUUUUCAAGCCCCAGGGCUGGAUGCUGCACACAAUCCCAGCUCCCAUGGCAGGGGUGAGUAGUGUGUCCCUGCUGACACCGCAGGCUGAGUCCUAUUUUUGUGGGAUCCAUCCACAUGAACUGGAAGUACUUUUAAGGUCCUCCAACAGUCAGUACCAAA